RNAcentral lists this transfer RNA (74 nucleotides) under Bacteriophage sp. RNAcentral's name for it is "tRNA-Gln". It matches the Rfam family "tRNA". Rfam says of the family: Transfer RNA (tRNA) molecules are approximately 80 nucleotides in length. The record is from RNAcentral.
UUCUCGGUAGUGUAACGGUUUUAGCACGGCUGAUUCUGGUUCAGUCAAUCAGGGUUCGAUUCCCUGCCGAGAAG